RNAcentral lists this ribosomal RNA (725 nucleotides) under uncultured bacterium. RNAcentral's name for it is "bacterial SSU rRNA". It matches the Rfam family "Bacterial small subunit ribosomal RNA", at positions 672 to 1397 of the family's 1533-position model. The record is from RNAcentral.
GGUGUAGCGGUGAAAUGCGUAGAGAUCUGAAGGAAUACCAGUGGCGAAGGCGGCCCCCUGGACAAAGACUGACGCUCAGAUGCGAAAGCGUGGGUAGCAAACAGGAUUAGAUACCCUGGUAGUCCACGCCGUAAACGCUGUCUACUUGGAGGUUGAGGUUUAGACUUUGGCUUUCGGCGCUAACGCAUUAAGUAGACCGCCUGGGGAGUACGGCCGCAAGGUUAAAACUCAAAUGAAUUGACGGGGGCCCGCACAAGCGGUGGAGCAUGUGGUUUAAUUCGAUGCAACGCGAAGAACCUUACCUACUCUUGACAUCCAGCGAAGCCUUUAGAGAUAGAGGAGUGCCUUCGGGAGCGCUGAGACAGGUGCUGCAUGGCUGUCGUCAGCUCGUGUUGUGAAAUGUUGGGUUAAGUCCCGCAACGAGCGCAACCCUUAUCCUUGUUUGCCAGCACAUAAUGGUGGGAACUCCAGGGAGACUGCCGGUGAUAAACCGGAGGAAGGUGGGGACGACGUCAAGUCAUCAUGGCCCUUACGAGUAGGGCUACACACGUGCUACAAUGGCAGAUACAGAGGGCAGCGAAGCUGCGAAGUGGAGCGAAUCCCUUAAAGUCUGUCGUAGUCCGGAUUGGAGUCUGCAACUCGACUCCAUGAAGUCGGAAUCGCUAGUAAUCGUGGAUCAGAAUGCCACGGUGAAUACGUUCCCGGGCCUUGUACACACCGCCCGU